Molecule: ribosomal RNA, 274 nt
Filed under: uncultured bacterium
Lineage: Bacteria
Description: partial 16S ribosomal RNA
Rfam family: Bacterial small subunit ribosomal RNA
Source: RNAcentral
AUACGGAGGGUGCGAGCGUUAAUCGGAAUUACUGGGCGUAAAGCGUACGUAGGCGGUUUGCUAAGUCAGAUGUGAAAGCCCCGGGCUUAACCUGGGAACUGCAUUUGAUACUGGCAGACUAGAGUAUGCUAGAGGGGGGUAGAAUUCCUGGUGUAGCGGUGAAAUGCGUAGAUAUCAGGAGGAAUACCAGUGGCGAAGGCGGCCCCCUGGAUCAAUACUGACGCUGAGGUACGAAAGCGUGGGGAGCGAACAGAAUUAGAAACCCCAGUAGUCC